AUGGAUAUAACAUUUCGUCCGGGUGCGUGUUACAGUAUAGCAGUUAUUUUUCUCACCGCGAUCAUCACAAAAGUUAUUGUAAGAAGAAUUGUUGCUCCAAGGCCAGAAAAGGGGUCACUUCAGCCACCUAUUGCAAGUGGUGUUUCUCUUGUAGCUGCUUUGCCUACAAUCCUGACCAAGGGUUUACAUCCAGUACUCCAUGACCUGCAUGCAAAGCUGGGCAGUGUAUUCACAAUAAAUCUGUUUGGUUUAAAGAAGGUGACUUUAUUGGUUGGACCGGAGGUCACAUCUCAUUUCUUUCAAGCCAAGAACUCGGAACUCUGCCACCCGGAUAUGUAUAAAUUCACUAUCCCUAUUUUCGGCAAAGGCGUUAUUUUUGAUGUGGAUUUCGAAACUAGAAACAGACAGAUACGAUUUGCUAUAGAUGCAAUGAAGCCAACACAAUUGAGAAGCAAAGUUGAUUAUAUGGUUCAUGAAGUACAGGACUACUUCUCAAAAUGGGAGCAAGAGGGCAUAAUUGAUCUAAAGCAUGAGAUGGCAGAGGUACUCAUGCUCAUCGCAAGCCGUUGCUUGCUUGGAAAAGAGGUCCGUGAGAAGAUGUUCGAAGAAGUCUCUGUGCUCAUCAAUGAUCUCUGCAAAAAUGGCAUGCACUUCAUCAGCCUUUUUUUCCCAUAUAUCCCAAUCCCAGCCCACCGGCAACGCGACAAAGCGCGUGCUAGGCUGGGAAAUAUAUUCCAUGAGAUAGUGAGAUCACGUAAAAUCUCAGGCCAGGUUGAGGAUGAUGUGCUACAAAAACUUAUUGACUCGAAAUGCAUGGAGGAUGGGCGCUCUAUGACCGAGAGUGAGAUUACUGGGCUACUCAUUAGCUUGUUGUUUGCUGGGCAACAUGCGAGCUCAAGCGCUGCCUCCUGGGCGGGAGCUUGUCUAAUAAGCCAUGAAAAGUACUUAGCAGCCGCUGUAGAAGAGCAACAGAAAAUCAUUGGAAAACACGGACAAGAUGUAGUAGUAGAUUACAACAUCUUGUUAGAGAUGGGAACCUUACAUUCCUGCAUCAAAGAGGCAAUAAGAAUGCAUUCUCCAUCAGCAAUGGUAAUGCGCCAUGUGAAGAAGAGCUUCACUGUACAAACUAGAGAAGGCUACAGCUAUGAAAUUCCACAAGGGCAUACCGUAGCUACCUCUAUAGUGGUUGGCAACCAGCUGCCACAUAUCUAUAAAGACCCUCAUGUAUAUGACCCGUACCGUUUUGGUCCAGGGAGAGAGGAGGACAAAGCUGGCGGCAAGUUUGCAUUCACAUCAUUUGGUGGUGGGAGGCAUGCUUGCUUCGGGGAGGAAUACUCUUACAUGCAAAUUAAAGUGAUAUGGAGUUUUUUGCUGAGGAACUUUGAGCUCAAAAUGAUUUCGCCUUUUCCAGAGGAAGAAAUUGAUAAAUUCAUACCAGGGCCUAAAGGAAGAGUGAUGGUCAGUUACAAGAGGCGACUUCUUGUCAGUACCUAA
RNAcentral lists this ribosomal RNA (1494 nucleotides) under Triticum aestivum (bread wheat). RNAcentral describes it as "partial small subunit ribosomal RNA". The record is from RNAcentral. Lineage: Eukaryota; Viridiplantae; Streptophyta; Magnoliopsida; Poales; Poaceae.